UAACAGGUCUUUCGGGAUGCUGACGAGUGGCGAACGGGUGAGUAAUACAUCGGAACGUGCCGAGUAUUGGGGGAUAACUACUCGAAAGAGUGGCUAAUACCGCAGGAGAUCUAUGGAUGAGAGCAGGGGAGCUUCGGGCCUUGUGCUACUACAGCGGCCGAUGGCAGAUUAGGUAGUUGGUGGGAUAAAAGCUUACCAAGCCUACGAUCUGUAGCUGGUCUGAGAGGACGAUCAGCCACACUGGGACUGAGACACGGCCCAGACUCCUACGGGAGGCAGCAGUGGGGAAUUUUGGACGAUGGGCGCAAGCCUGAUCCAGCAAUGCCGCGUGCGGGAUGAAGGCCUUCGGGUUGUAAACUGCUUUUGUACGGAACGAAAAGUCUUGGGUUAAUACCCUGGGAUCAUGACGGUACCGUAAGAAUAAGCACCGGCUAACUACGUGCCAGCAGCCGCGGUAAUACGUAGGGUGCAAGCGUUAAUCGGAAUUACUGGGCGUAAAGCGUGCGCAGGCGGUUUUGUAAGACAGUGGUGAAAUCCCCGGGCUCAACCUGGGAACUGCCAUUGUGACUGCAAGGCUGGAGUG
RNAcentral lists this ribosomal RNA (583 nucleotides) under Comamonas sp. RNAcentral's name for it is "bacterial SSU rRNA". It matches the Rfam family "Bacterial small subunit ribosomal RNA", at positions 70 to 648 of the family's 1533-position model. The record is from RNAcentral. Lineage: Bacteria; Pseudomonadati; Pseudomonadota; Betaproteobacteria; Burkholderiales; Comamonadaceae.